CCACAGCGUAUUUUACAAGUUUCACAACAGCCCCAACUUCUCUACCACAUUCAACUACAUCCACAACCAAAACAGCUAUCCCUGCGACACAACCUUCUAGCACUACCAGAUUAACCACGACUAGCACAGGUGCAUCAACAGACCCCCCUCAACAAAAUGAGGGUUACCUCUUUCUGAGGAUGCGUUUGGUGCGGGUUUUCGUAAUCGAAUACAACAACCCAAAAUCGUUGCAAUAUAAAGAAUUGGCUGCCAAUGUCACAGCUGAGCUGAAUCGGGGAUACAGGAAGUGGUACCCUUUCACUUUCCUGAGAUGCAUAAUUAUUGGAUUUUGGCCUGGCUCAGUGGGUGUCACAGCCAACUUGAUAUUCCAGAAUGAGAGUGUAGUUCCGAACAUCACCAGUGCAGAAGACUCAUUAAAAAAGUCUUUAAAUGAAUCCCUGGUUUUCCUGAAUGUUAUCACUGGCAGUAUUGUUGCAGCUGAACCAAAUGCCUCCAGUACUGUAACUCCUACAACUGUGGAGGCAACUAAUUCCACAGUAGCACCUACAACCACAAGUACAGCUGCAAGUACCAGUACAACAACGCAAACAACUCAAACUGCCACAGCACUCACCACCACCAGCGGUGCAAUGGCAAGGAGCAGACCUGUAGAUAUGGUCACUUUUCUACUACCAAUCACUUUAGUCAACUUUCUGUACAUUUUGAUGUAGAUCUUUUCUGACUGUUUUGGCCCUUUCCUUUCAUAUGAAAUUGUACCACUGUCAAAUUAACGUAAAAGCAAAUAGCACAAUCACUUGUUUUAAUGAUCUAUUAUGUAAUCAA
Molecule: long non-coding RNA, 822 nt
Organism: Osmerus eperlanus (European smelt)
Lineage: Eukaryota; Metazoa; Chordata; Actinopteri; Osmeriformes; Osmeridae
Exons: 4
Source: RefSeq, a predicted model, not a curated record